GCAGAGUCGUUUAAUCUCCCUUCUGAAUUGAGUUUCGAAGUGCUUUCCACAGCAGGUCUGCCCUAUUUUCCCUUCUGGGGGCUGGCAGGUGGCAAGGGUCAUUAUACACUGAUUUUAAAUGAUGAUUCGAAGCGACUUGGUAAGCUCCGGGCAGGUUAUCUGCGUUAAGUCUGGCAGCGGUUCAACGAUCAUCCGAUGGUGGUUUCCGGUUUUGCGUGUGUCUUUCUUGUG
This 231-nucleotide small RNA is filed under the name Rhizobium sp. N113. Its description in RNAcentral is "miscellaneous other RNA". The record is from RNAcentral. Lineage: Bacteria; Pseudomonadati; Pseudomonadota; Alphaproteobacteria; Hyphomicrobiales; Rhizobiaceae. RNAcentral also lists the same sequence under 7 other names.